GAGAGUUUGAUCCUGGCUCAGGAUGAACGCUAGCGGCAGGCUUAACACAUGCAAGUCGAGGGGCAACAUUUCUUUCGGGAAGAUGGCGACCGGCGCACGGGGGAGUAACGCGUAUGCAAUAUCUACCUUUAACAGGAGGAUAGCCCCGAGAAAUCGGGAUUAAUACUCCAUAACAUUCUUUAGUGGCAUCACUUUAGAUUUAAAGCUUCGGCGGUUAAAGAUGGGCAUGCGUGACAUUAGUUUGUUGGUGAGGUAACGGCUCACCAAGACUACGAUGUCUAGGGGUUCUGAGAGGAUGAUCCCCCACACUGGUACUGAGACACGGACCAGACUCCUACGGGAGGCAGCAGUGAGGAAUAUUGGGCAAUGGAGGCAACUCUGACCCAGCCAUGCCGCGUGCAGGAAGACGGCCCUAUGGGUUGUAAACUGCUUUUAUAUACCAAGAAACCCCAUCACGUGUGAUGGCUUGACGGUAGUAUAUGAAUAAGGACCGGCUAACUCCGUGCCAGCAGCCGCGGUAAUACGGAGGGUCCGAGCGUUAUCCGGAUUUAUUGGGUUUAAAGGGUGCGCAGGCGGUAUAAUAAGUCAGUGGUGAAAUCUCGAGGCUCAACCUCGAAACUGCCAUUGAUACUGUUAUACUCGAGUAUAGACGAAGUAGGCGGAAUGUAGCAUGUAGCGGUGAAAUGCUUAGAUAUGCUACAGAACACCGAUUGCGAAGGCAGCUUACUAGACUAUUACUGACGCUAAUGCACGAAAGCGUGGGGAGCGAACAGGAUUAGAUACCCUGGUAGUCCACGCCGUAAACUAUGAUUACUCGAUGUUGGCGAUACACAGUCAGUGUCUAAGGGAAACCGAUAAGUAAUCCACCUGGGGAGUACGAUCGCAAGGUUGAAACUCAAAGGAAUUGACGGGGGCCCGCACAAGCGGAGGAGCAUGUGGUUUAAUUCGAUGAUACGCGAGGAACCUUACCUGGGCUCAAACGUAGAGUGACCAUCUGUGAAAGCAGAUUUUCCUUCGGGACAGUCUACGAGGUGCUGCAUGGUUGUCGUCAGCUCGUGCCGUGAGGUGUCGGGUUAAGUCCCAUAACGAGCGCAACCCCUAUCUUUAGUUGCCAUCAGGUCAUGCUGGGGACUCUAAAGAAACUGCCUACGCAAGUAGUGAGGAAGGUGGGGAUGACGUCAAAUCAGCACGGCCCUUACGUCCAGGGCUACACACGUGCUACAAUGGUCGAUACAGAGGGCAGCUACCUGGUGACAGGAUGCAAAUCUCGAAAAUCGAUCUCAGUUCGGAUCGAAGUCUGCAACUCGACUUCGUGAAGUUGGAUUCGCUAGUAAUCGCAUAUCAGCCAUGAUGCGGUGAAUACGUUCCCGGGCCUUGUACACACCGCCCGUCAAGCCAUGGAAGCUGGGAGUACCUGAAGUUCGUGACCGCAAGGAGCGACCUAGGGUAAAACUAGUAACUAGGGCUAAGUCGUAACAAGGUAGCCGUAG
This 1490-nucleotide ribosomal RNA is filed under the name uncultured prokaryote. Its description in RNAcentral is "partial 16S ribosomal RNA". It matches the Rfam family "Bacterial small subunit ribosomal RNA". The record is from RNAcentral.